UAACGCAUUAAGUUCCCCGCCUGGGGAGUACGGCCGCAAGGCUAAAACUCAAAGGAAUUGACGGGGACCCGCACAAGCGGCGGAGCAUGCGGAUUAAUUCGAUGCAACGCGAAGAACCUUACCAAGGCUUGACAUAUACGAGAACGGGCCAGAAAUGGUCAACUCUUUGGACACUCGUAAACAGGUGGUGCAUGGUUGUCGUCAGCUCGUGUCGUGAGAUGUUGGGUUAAGUCCCGCAACGAGCGCAACCCUCGUUCUAUGUUGCCAGCACGUAAUGGUGGGAACUCAUGGGAUACUGCCGGGGUCAACUCGGAGGAAGGUGGGGAUGACGUCAAAUCAUCAUGCCCCUUAUGUCUUGGGCUUCACGCAUGCUACAAUGGCCGGUACAAUGGGCUGCGAUACCGUAAGGUGGAGCGAAUCCCAAAAAGCCGGUCCCAGUUCGGAUUGAGGUCUGCAACUCGACCUCAUGAAGUCGGAGUCGCUAGUAAUCGCAG
Molecule: ribosomal RNA, 494 nt
Filed under: Microbacterium sp. 3B.17B
Lineage: Bacteria; Bacillati; Actinomycetota; Actinomycetes; Micrococcales; Microbacteriaceae
Description: bacterial SSU rRNA
Rfam family: Bacterial small subunit ribosomal RNA
Source: RNAcentral